AAAGGCGAAGAAGAAAAGGGAGGAACACCAAGUGCCGAAGGCCGACUUUUCUGGUCCGGUAACGGACGCUGGAAUGUGCGAAAAGCGUGGGGAUCAAACAGGAUAAGAUACCCUGGUAGUCCACGCGUAAACGAUGAGUGCUAAGUGUAAGGGGGUUUCCGCCCCUAAGUGCUGCAGCAACGCAUUAAGCACUCCGCCUGGGGAGUACGACCGCAAGGUUGAAACUCAAAGGAAUGACGGGGACCCGCACAAGCGGUGGAGCAUGUGGUUUAAUUCGAAGCAACGCGAAGAACCUUACCAAAUCUGGACAUCCUUUGACCUUCUAGAGAUAGAAGUUUCCCCUUCGGGGGACAAAGUGACAGGUGGUGCAUGGUGUGUCAGCUCGUGUCGUGAGAUGUUGGGUUAAGUCCCGCAACGAGCGCAACCCUUAAGCUUAGUUGCCAUCAUUAAGUUGGGCACUCUAAGUUGACUGCCGGUGACAAACCGGAGGAAAGGGUGGGGAUGACGUCAAAUCAUCAUGCCCCUUAUGAUUUGGGCUACUACACGUGCUACAAUAGGACCAAACACAAGGGGAAGCGAAACCGCGAGGUCAAGCAAAUCCCAUAAAGUUGUUCUCAGUUCGGAUUGUAGUCUGCAACUCGACUACAUGAAGCUGGAAUCGCUAGUAAUCGUAGAUCAGCAUGCUACGGUGAAUACGU
This 698-nucleotide ribosomal RNA is filed under the name Staphylococcus hominis. RNAcentral's name for it is "bacterial SSU rRNA". It matches the Rfam family "Bacterial small subunit ribosomal RNA", at positions 684 to 1371 of the family's 1533-position model. Lineage: Bacteria; Bacillati; Bacillota; Bacilli; Caryophanales; Staphylococcaceae. The record is from RNAcentral.